Molecule: long non-coding RNA, 3049 nt
Organism: Solanum lycopersicum (tomato)
Lineage: Eukaryota; Viridiplantae; Streptophyta; Magnoliopsida; Solanales; Solanaceae
Source: RefSeq, a predicted model, not a curated record
ACCCUGGGGGGUACCAUAAGUAACUAAAAAAAAUUAGAGAGUCUUAUCGGUGAAAACUUUCAUAGGCAUCAUGAGACGAAAAAAUAAUAAUAAAAUCUUAUAGGUGAAAAUCCAACGGUCACCUUAAGAUAAAGGGAGAGAACAUCAUGAAUAAAAUCUGCAAAGAUGAUCAUUUCUCGACACCUCUGCAUAAAAGUUACAUAGAUCAAUUGACGAUGACUCAGAUUUUGAGAACUAAAAAACUCAAACGGAUCAGGGGGCAAGUCCAAGUGCAUGUCAUGGUUCAAUCAAAGUCGACAUAUGCCUCCAGAUAAGUUCUCUUUCUCAUUUUCAAAGGAAUAUCCUUCAUUAAGUUUAUAGUCUUCUUGAUCCAAUCUUUGAUACUCUUGAGUUUGACAUUUGUUUUUUUCUCUUUUCGAUAUAUUCUAUUCACAAAAUAAAGUAAAGAGUGCAAAGCUUACUAUGGGUUCCCAAAAGUAAAGUUGAGUAUCUGAGUUGACAAGCCAUCAAGCAAGGACUAAAAAACAAAAUCUUCACUGAAAAUUCAUGAAGGUCAUCAUUGUUUGGGACAUCACUCGCACCAUGAUAGUUGGUAGUACCAAAAGAUCAAGGCUCCUGAUAACAAAGAGGGAGCUUCAAAGGUUGCUUAACCAAGGAGUUAGAUUAGAGUUAGAGAAAUUGGUCGUGAGUAUGGUCAAUUCGUUGGAGAACCAAGGCCACAAACCAACCACCACUUUAAACUAACAAUUUUCUCUUACAUUUGCUCAACACAGAAACAAAAAAGAAAUGCAGGGUUACAAGUCAAAAAGGAAACAUCACAAAAAAAAAAAGAUCUCCAAAGUCUUCAAAUGUUUGGUGUUUCAUCUCAUGCUACUCGCAUUUUUUCCUAUCAAUGCGAGAGUUUCGGGAAAUAUGCUCCAAUCUGAAUUACAUGCAAUACGUGCACGUCCUUUAUUCAUGGGCAAUACGCACCAUCCUUUGUUCAUGUGCAAUACGCACCUCUCUGAAUUUCGUGCAAUACGAACCAAUUUGAAUUCCGUGCAACAAGCACACAUCCUUUAUUCAUGGGCAAUACGCAUCAUCCUGUGUUCAUGUGCAAUACUCACCAGUCUAAAUUCUAUGCAAUACGCACCAAUUGGAAAUUAUGUGCAAUAUGCAUCAAUAUGAAUUUUGUGCAAUAGACACACAAUCCUUUAUUCAUGGGCAAUACGCACCAUCCUUUGUUCAUGUGCAAUACGCACCUGUCUGAAUUUCAUGCAAUACGAACCAAUCUGAAUUUCGUGCAACAAGCACACAUCCUUUAUUCAUGGGCAAUAUGCACCAUCUUGUGUUCAUGUGCAAUACGCACCAGUCUGAAUUUCGUACGAUACGCAUCAAUCUGAAUUUAUGUGUAGUGCGCAGCAGUCCUUAUUCACAUGCAAUCCAGAUCAUUUCUCUAUUCAUGGGCAAUACGCACCAUAUGCAUAUUUGGAGCAAUGCGCACUAACAUUCAUAGGUUAUACACACCCUAUUCGCAUUUUGGGGAUUCAUCCAAUCAUAGGACAAUGCAUCUUAUUUGGAACUCUCGGGGUAACAUGCCUCACUUAACCUAUUCAUUCUAGGGUUAUACUUUCUAGUUCAAGAUUCUCAUUUGUUUUCUUCUUUUAUAAAGGAAACAUAUUCUUCAUGGGUUCUUCAUUUUAUGAUCUUGAGUGUUGAGUUUCAACAACCAACUCAAGUUAAAACAUGCACUUAAGAAUGACCCACCAGCCGCCAAGACAACAUGAAGAUCGAUCUCAAAGAUAAUGCACGGAGCAAGUGAAAGAUCUAGACAAGAUCCUAAGAAGAUACAUCAAUUAGGGAUCUUGUAACAUUUAUAAGUAGAGAUACAUAGUUCUCUAACUCUUUUCAUUGUAACUAUAGGCAGUAGAUGAUGACAAGCAAUAUGAAGCAAUCUUUUGGCCACGCUUCUGAUAGUUUCGGUUAUCAAAGUUACUCGAACUACACUGAUCUGAUUUCCUUUUAAUCAAGGAUAUGUAGGCAACCUCUGAAGCAAGAUUCGGUCAUCUUUUACAAAAUGGACUCAUCGGAGUUUGAAAAAGUCAAAAAUUAGCCACUUCGUUCACUUUCUUUGCUUGAAAACUCUUCAUGUUUCCAAGCAAAGAGGGGCAUGUUGUGAACACCUAAUUUUUAACGUGUUUAUUUUACUCCUAUAAUAUUUUAGUAAGGAAUUUUAUUUUUAUUAUUUUAUUGGCUCAAAUGACCCAAUUUUAUUUAAAUUGUGCUGAUUUAUAUCAAUUCUGAUGGCCUAAUUGAUUUUGACCCGGUCAAUAGAAAUGGUCAAGAUUGAAUCUCAAUCAUUCAUAAUAUUUUGAUCCACGAGCUAUUAUUGGACCAAAAAAAAUACAAAAAUCCAAAAAAUUAGCAUUUUUUUUAUUUUUCUUCCUCCCCUUACUACCAUGCCGUCGGCCGGCCACCGCUGCCGCCACCACCUUUUUGGCCGGAAAAAAUCUUUAAAAUUUUACCAUCCUUUCACCCUCCUCUACCUAAAUCUACAAUCGUUUCAUCCAUAUCUAUAGUCAAACUCCGUAGAUCUAAGGGAAAACUAAGUAUGAAUUUUCACUUUUUUCCUUAAAUUUAUAAAGUUCCGGUCAUUUUCCAUCCCAAACCCUUUACAUAAAUGUGUAGAGCUCUUCAAGGGCUAUCAUUUGAUAUAAAUUUUAAGUUCAAAAUCCGUCAAAAAAAUUUCGGGUUUGAGACUACAUAAUUCUCUCUUCAAUUGACGUUUUCAAGAGAAUUACUAGAGGUUCCGCUUCUAAAUCUAAGGAGGAUAUAAGAUGGGGAAAAUGCCUGAAUCCGUCGAUGUGCAAAAUCCCACACAAAUUCAUAACCAUGAAGUUGAAGAAGACCAAUUUGUUGGAGAAGAGGUUUUUUUUUUGCAUGUUUUGUGUCUUGCAUGUUUAGUUUGAUUUGUUUAGUAAUUUUUGAAAUUCAAAAAAAUUCAUGUUACAAUGUGUUUGGAAGUGUAUAUGGAAUUUUUAUUAUGUUAUAGUUAGUACUUAUUUUUGUA